Molecule: unclassified non-coding RNA, 359 nt
Filed under: soil metagenome
Description: partial contains 5.8S ribosomal RNA, internal transcribed spacer 2, and large subunit ribosomal RNA
Rfam family: 5.8S ribosomal RNA (bases 3-121)
Source: RNAcentral
GAAUGAAGAACGUAGCGAAAUGCGAUAAGUAAUGUGAAUUGCAGAAUUCAGUGAAUCAUCGAAUCUUUGAACGCACAUUGCGCCCGUCAGUAUUCUGGCGGGCAUGCCUGUUCGAGCGUCAUUACGCCCCUCAAGUCCCCUGUGGACUUGGUGUUGGGGAUCGGCGAGGCUGGUUUUCCAGCACAGCCGUCCCUUAAAUUAAUUGGCGGUCUCGCCGUGGCCCUCCUCUGCGCAGUAGUAAAACACUCGCAACAGGAGCCCGGCGCGGUCCACUGCCGUAAAACCCCCCAACUUUUUAUAGUUGACCUCGAAUCAGGUAGGACUACCCGCUGAACUUAAGCAUAUCAAUAAGCGGAGGA